AUUGAACGCUGGCGGCAGGCCUAACACAUGCAAGUCGAACGGUAACAGGAAGCAGCUUGCUGCUUCGCUGACGAGUGGCGGACGGGUGAGUAAUGUCUGGGAAGCUGCCUGAUGGAGGGGGAUAACUACUGGAAACGGUAGCUAAUACCGCAUAAUGUCGCAAGACCAAAGAGGGGGACCUUCGGGCCUCUUGCCCUCGGAUGUGCCCAGAUGGGAUUAGCUUGUUGGUGGGGUAACGGCUCACCAAGGCGACGAUCCCUAGCUGGUCUGAGAGGAUGACCAGCCACACUGGAACUGAGACACGGUCCAGACUCCUACGGGAGGCAGCAGUGGGGAAUAUUGCACAAUGGGCGCAAGCCUGAUGCAGCCAUGCCGCGUGUAUGAAGAAGGCCUUCGGGUUGUAAAGUACUUUAAGCGGGGAGGAAGGGAGUAAAGUUAAUACCUUGGCUCAUUGACGUUACCCGCAGAAGAAGCACCGGCUAACUCCGUG
Molecule: ribosomal RNA, 490 nt
Filed under: uncultured bacterium
Lineage: Bacteria
Description: partial 16S ribosomal RNA
Rfam family: Bacterial small subunit ribosomal RNA
Source: RNAcentral